This 490-nucleotide ribosomal RNA is filed under the name uncultured bacterium. Its description in RNAcentral is "partial 16S ribosomal RNA". It matches the Rfam family "Bacterial small subunit ribosomal RNA", at positions 355 to 861 of the family's 1533-position model. The record is from RNAcentral.
UGGGGAAUAUUGCACAAUGGGCGAAAGCCUGAUGCAGCAACGCCGCGUGAGUGAUGAAGGUCUUCGGAUUGUAAAGCUCUGUCUUUUGGGACGAUAAUGACGGUACCAAAGGAGGAAGCCACGGCUAACUACGUGCCAGCAGCCGCGGUAAUACGUAGGUGGCGAGCGUUGUCCGGAUUUACUGGGCGUAAAGGGUGCGUAGGCGGAUGUUUAAGUGAGAUGUGAAAUACCCGGGCCUAACUUGGGUGCUGCAUUUCAAACUGGAUAUCUAGAGUGCAGGAGAGGAGAAUGGAAUUCCUAGUGUAGCGGUGAAAUGCGUAGAGAUUAGGAAGAACACCAGUGGCGAAGGCGAUUCUCUGGACUGUAACUGACGCUGAGGCACGAAAGCGUGGGUAGCAAACAGGAUUAGAUACCCUGGUAGUCCACGCCGUAAACGAUGAGUACUAGGUGUAGGAGGUAUCGACCCCUUCUGUGCCGCAGUAAACACAUU